AUUCCUUCCUCUAUCUCCUUCUCUCCUCCACCUCCCACACCGCAUCACAGCCAAGCUUUGCUGUUGCUUUUUCUGCUGCGGGCCAAGGCCGCCCAUGAGCUGAAACCGGUGAAAGGGAGGCGUGGCGGCGCUGCAGGAUGAAGCAGGCGAGUGGUGCUGCGAAGACAUCUCCGUCAUGUGUGGCGAGGCCAUGGGGGCACUGCUAUGACCCGUUCUAGCCAUGAGAGCUACCCCAAGCGGCACAGCACCCUGCUACCGCCUGCUCGCUCGAUGCUACAACCAGUUCGUCUGAUGUUACAGACGGCAUAGCACCUUGCUACAACUGGCGUCGCCGCUGGUAGAGCUAUCUGAGGCCGGUCACAGUGACCUUCCAUGCCGAAAGCUACAAACACCUCUCCACAGAGCUGGAACCUGCGGCGCCCAAAGUUGCAACCACUCUGGGGAAAAGCUGUAACCAUGGCCAGAUUUUGCAUUUUUGGUACUACCGUUUAUUUUUUUGCUGGAACCAGCACAAGUUUUUGCUACCAGCUGUUUUUGGGUUUGUUUGAACCAGUCCCCAUUUUUGUAAUUUUUGCUACCAUCGGCGUUUUAGUUUGCUGGAGCGAGCUUCAAUUUUUGCUACCACUGGCAUUUUUCAUUUUCUGGAACAACGUCCAAUUUGCAUGAUUUGCUACCACGGUAUUUUUGAUUUGCUGGAACCAUGCCAUUUUUUGCUACAGCCGCCUUUUUGGAUGCGAACCACAUCGUCGUCGCCAUUGAAUCUGCAGGGAGGCGAGGGGGGAGGCAACACCGGCGAGGGGUGAGCGUCGGCGGCGACCGCCGACGGCAAGGGACGGAGAGCUUCGAGGCCGGUCGUCUUGCUCGGGUUAAUCGGGCGCGGGGUCGCUCGGGAUAAUCAACGGGGCGGGGUAAUCAAGGGGGCCUGGGGCCAGCCGUGUCGCUCGAGAAGAAAAGGAAGGCGAGGGACGGGGAAGAAGAGGAUGCGGUAGCCAGAUCAAACGGCUGUGCUGCGCUGCAUCGGACGGCUCGGGUGCGACGCGCCGGUGCCUAGUAGCCGCCUAAUGAAGAAUAAGCAUACGCUAUGAGAGUACUCAGGUGUAUGGAUAUUGCCGGUUCGCUUCACUCCUCCUUUCACGAAAAGGAGUUUUUUUUUUCCUUUUGAAAGGAGAUUGGCACGGAGAGUCACCAAAGAAGUCUCGCUAUUUGAAAUGCUAGUAGACCAUAAAGCCUGGCCAUCAAAAUUACCC
This 1247-nucleotide ribosomal RNA is filed under the name Triticum aestivum (bread wheat). Its description in RNAcentral is "partial small subunit ribosomal RNA". Lineage: Eukaryota; Viridiplantae; Streptophyta; Magnoliopsida; Poales; Poaceae. The record is from RNAcentral.